AUACGGAGGGUGCAAGCGUUGUUCGGAACCACUGGGCGUAAAUGGCGCGCAGGCGGUUUGGUAAGUCAGAUGUGAAAGCCCAUGGCUCAACCAUGGAAGUGCAUUUGAAACUGUCAGACUUGAGUACUAGAGGGGAAAGUGGAAUUCCCGAUGUAGAGGUGAAAUUCGUAGAUAUCGGGAGGAAUACCGGUGGCGAAGGCGACUUUCUGGCUAGAUACUGACGCUGAGGCGCGAAAGCGUGGGGAGCAAACAGGAUUAGAAACCCGGGUAGUCC
Molecule: ribosomal RNA, 274 nt
Filed under: uncultured bacterium
Lineage: Bacteria
Description: partial 16S ribosomal RNA
Rfam family: Bacterial small subunit ribosomal RNA
Source: RNAcentral